This 1835-nucleotide long non-coding RNA is filed under the name Sus scrofa (pig). Its description in RNAcentral is "lncRNA (ENSSSCG00000056773.1, ENSSSCG00110037212.1)". The record is from RNAcentral. Lineage: Eukaryota; Metazoa; Chordata; Mammalia; Artiodactyla; Suidae.
UCUCACAUACACCAGCUGACCUGCUGAUUGGUUGGGGAAAGAGGGGUCUUAUGAUACACUUGCUGAUUGGUUGGAGGGGAGUAUAAAGCCUCCAUAGGGGCGGGGUGAGAAGUGGGCCACAUACCUUUCCUAGUAGGAGUAGGAAAGAGGAGGCCAGGUUGCUCAAGGUGGGGGAAGGAGCAUUACAGUGAGACAAGUGGGGUGAUAAUAAUUCUUGUCUUGGCCAGAGGCUUUGCAUUCAGUCUCCUUGAAGAGGCCUUGAAGCCCAGCUUAGAGCAUCUGAGUGGUUCUAACUGCGAGUUUAGUCAGACUGCAAGCAGAAGUCCGCCCAGGUUUCAGGCAACUGAACACUUGCCUUGGGGCUACAGAAUCUGCUUCCAAGUCGGCUCACUCAUGUGGCUGUUGCUACAAAGGAGGUGCGGUUUCCAUCCCUGGCUCAGGGGCAGUGGUUCUUGGAUUCAGUUCCUGGCCCAGGAACUUCCAUAUGCUGAGAGUAUGGCCAUGAAAAAAUAAUUAAUUAACAUAUACUUUAUGGUGUAGUGUGCCAUGCACAAGGCUGUUGAUGAUUGGCCCAAUUUUGCCUUUUUCUCUUGUUUUGACUUUUUUUUUUCCCCCUAGUCGAGGUCAGGAGUAUGUAUAGUUCAACUAGUUCUACAAAGUUUGUUAGACAAACAGCAUUCCUCCAUUGUCCCCCCUCCUGUUUUCCCUUCUCUGGGGCCAAUAUUUUCAACUCUCCUAAUAUUUAUUCUGUAUAGUUAAAUUGCUAAUGCUGACUCUUUCAGUUUUUGGCCCUCUCCAUUAAUUUAUCCUUUGCCUGUGGAAGGACUUACCAUUACUUUCUACCUCUCUUUUCUCCACUUUCCAUCUCCACCCUCUCCAUAUGUUUAUAUUGUAAUUUUGGCUUGAGAAACAUUUAUUAUUUCUUUUACAUGUUUACAUAUGCCUUGCAGAACUGGGGCUGUAAAGUAGUCUUUUGCUUUUUCUGGAAUUAGCAAUUGCCUUUUCAUUGUUGCUGCUGUUUAUUUGUGCAGUUCUCUGUGUGUUUGUCAUUGAUUCAAUCCCCAAAUCUCAAUUUCACCUUCCUGACAAAAUCUAGGGGUAUCUAACCUGCCCAGUCUGGUCUGGAUGCCCUCUACUCUCAAACACAGCUGUCAGCCUGGGCUAGUCCUUUAAUCCAGAGAAUUCCUCUCAUCUCCUGCUUCUCUGUGUUGUACUGGGUUAAAUAUUGUCUCUCCCCUCCCAAAUUCAUGUUUUUCUCAGAACCUUAGAAUGUGACAUUAUUUAAAAAUAGGCUUAUUAGAAGGGGAGUUCCUGUUGUGGCUCAGAAGAUUAAGAAUCUGACUAGUAUCCAUUUAAGGAUCCGGCGUUGUCACAAAUGCAGCUUGGAUCUGGUGUUGCCAUGGCUGAGUGUAGGCCACAGGUUUGGCUCUGAUUUGACCCCUAGCUUGGUAUCUUUCAUAUGCUGUGGUACAGCCCUGGAAAAAAAAAAAAAAAAAGGAAAGAGAUAUAGAGAUAGACACACACAAAAGAAAAACUAUGUGAUGAUGGAGGAGAGAUUGGAAUUCUGUCACAAGCCAAGGAAUGCCUGGGUCCACUAGAAGCUGGAAAAUGCAAGAGAGAAUCUUCUCCUUGAGGUUUCAGAGAAAGCAUGGCCCUGUUCACACCAUGAUUUUGGAUUUCUGGCCUUUAGGACUGUGUAAAUUUCUGUUGGUUUAAACUAUCCAGUUUGUGGUAAGUUGCUGUGGCAGCCCCAGGGAAUUAAAAUAUUUUGUUCUGUUUUGGUUUGAUUUUGUUUUUGCUUUUAGUUUCUACCUUCAUUUGGUAGAGUAUACCUU